GCUACUCGUGGUGCUAGCAAGUACUCAAUCAUUUGGAAUCUCCCUGAAAAUCACAAGAUUGAAUUGCCAUUAACUAGUUCAAAUCAGCCAAUUAAGAAGGCAGGGAGGAACUUCACAGGUUGGUUGGGUACAAUUGCACGAAACCCCCAUUUGUGCCCAAUUAAGUAUAAGAAUUGGACAAGAAUGCCAGAUGAAUUUAAGGAACAAAUAUGGGAUAUUGUUCAGUCAAAAUGGAUUUUGCCUGAAGAACCUGCUAAGUUAGAGGCAAUGAAGAAUAGGACAUUGUCCUCAAUUGCAAAAUCUUGGAAGAACCACAAGUUAGCUUUGAAGAAGAAGUAUUUCCUAGGAAGAGGAAAUAGAGCACGAGUACCACCAAAUGUAAUUUCUGAAGAUUAUGAAGACCUUGUUCAGUAUUAGAGUUUACCAAAAACGAAGGAGCUUGCUUUGAAAAACAAGAACAGUCGUUCUAAGCAGACAAAUGUGCAUACUGGUGGUUCAAAAAACUUUGCUUCAUAUGCAGAAGAAAUGGUAACAACGCUUGGGCAUCCUGUAGAGCGUGCGGAUGGUACUCCAGUUAACACCGUAGCAGAAGGCAACAUUGAAAAAAUCAACGAACUGUUGAGUGAGUCCUCAAAUCGUGUGCAAUCAUCUGACCUUACUGGUAGUAUUGCAUGGCACCAGAUGAUAUAUAUGCUCAAGUGUUUGGUAAUGAGCGCAAUGGUCGUAUUCGAGGUGUGGGAUUUGGCCCAACUCCAAGUAUGCAUCCUGCCAAGAGCACUCCUGCAAUUGCUCAAGUAAGAAGCCAAGAAAGGGAUGCUGAAGUGACUCAGUUGGAGAAUCAAGUGGCUUCUUUGACGGAGAAAGUGAAUCGUUAUGAAAACUUGGAGGAGCGAAUGACCCAAUUGAUGCAACUAGUGCAAAAUCAGCAAAAUCAUUCUUCAGAAGCUAGUCGGGGUGGUUUCGGUUUAGAUCAUCAAUCUCCAACUCCUUACAGGUCACAGGCUUCAUCCCAUCAAGAAACUAGCAUAUAGCGGUACAUGCAAUGUUUUAAGGACUCCAUGGGCUACUACAUAGUUAUUUUGAACAACCACAAUUAUUUUGGAACUAUUGUACUUUGUUUAUAAUAUUGUCAUAGUUUGGGUGGUGGUUCUUUUUUGGUAUAGGUAGACAAGUGUUUU
Quercus lobata is the source of this 1178-nucleotide long non-coding RNA. RefSeq lists it as uncharacterized. The record is from RefSeq and is a predicted model, not a curated record. The transcript is spliced from 6 exons. Lineage: Eukaryota; Viridiplantae; Streptophyta; Magnoliopsida; Fagales; Fagaceae.